AUUCAAAGAGUGCGUAACAGCUCACUGGUCGAGUGGACAUGCGCCGACAAUACACGGGGCUAAGCUGGACACCGAAGCGGCGGGAUUUUAAUUCAUUAGAAUCGGUAGGGGAGCUUCCCAUGGGCGGAGAAGCCGGAGGGCGACCGACGGUGGAGCGCAUGGGAGUGAGAAUGCUGGCAUGAGUAGCGAGAGACGAGAGAGUAACUCGUCCGCCGUGAACCCGAGGUUUCCUGGGCAAGGCUAAUCCUCCCAGGGUCAGUCGGGGGCUAAGGCGAGGCCGGGAGGCGUAGCCGACGCGCAGCAGGCAGACAUUCCUGCACCGCGCACGCGGCGCUACGACCGACGGGGCGACGGAUGGGGGUGGCUCGGCGGGGUUCUGGACGUCCCCGUGAUGGAGCGCGGCCCGCGGACCAGGGAAAUCCGGUCCGCACGAGGGCGAGGCUCCGGACGAAGCACUUAAGCGAAGCGAGUGAGCCCGAGGUCCCUAGAAAAACCCCUAGGCAGGCGCGUGCGCGCCCGUACCGCAAACCGACACAGGUGGGUGGGUAGAACAUACCGAGGCGAUCGGGUCAACCAUGGUCAAGGAACUCGGCACAAUGGCCCCGUAACUUCGGGAGAAGGGGUGCCCGCGCGUACGUGAACGGACUUGCUCCGGGAGCGGAGGCGGGCCGCAGUGGAGAGGCCCAAGCGACUGUUUACCAAAAACACAGGACUCUGCAGAAGCCGCAAGGCGACGUAUAGGGUCUGACGCCUGCCCGGUGCCGGAAGGUCACGCGGAGGAGUUAGCCAUUUCGGCGAAGCCCCGAAGCCAAGCCCCGGUAAACGGCGGCCGUAACUAUAACGGUCCUAAGGUAGCGAAAUUCCUUGUCGGGUAAGUUCCGACCUGCACGAAAGGCGCAACGACUUGGGCGCUGUCUCGACCAUGGACCCGGUGAAAUUGCACUGGUCGUGAAGAUGCGACUUACCCGCGGAAGGACGGAAAGACCCCGUGAACCUUCACUGCAGCUUGGCAUUGGCCGCUGGUCCCGCGUGUAGAGGAUAGGCAGGAGGCUAAGAUCCGGAGGCGCCAGCCCCCGGGGAGCCGCCCUUGGAAUACUGCCCUCGCGCGACCGGCGUCCUAACCCGAGGCCGUCAACCGGCUCGGGGACCGUGCCAGGCGGGCAGUUUGACUGGGGCGGUCGCCUCCUAAAGGGUAACGGAGGCGCGCGAAGGUCCGCUCGGGACGGUCGGCAACCGUCCUUUUGAAUGCAAGAGUACAAGCGGGCUUGACUGCGAGGCCCACAAGCCGAGCAGGUGCGAAAGCAGGCUCUAGUGAUCCG
RNAcentral lists this ribosomal RNA (1319 nucleotides) under human gut metagenome. RNAcentral describes it as "bacterial LSU rRNA". It matches the Rfam family "Bacterial large subunit ribosomal RNA", at positions 1121 to 2422 of the family's 2925-position model. The record is from RNAcentral.